RNAcentral lists this ribosomal RNA (469 nucleotides) under uncultured bacterium. Its description in RNAcentral is "partial 16S ribosomal RNA". It matches the Rfam family "Bacterial small subunit ribosomal RNA", at positions 28 to 508 of the family's 1533-position model. The record is from RNAcentral.
GACGAACGCUGGCGGCGUGCUUAACACAUGCAAGUCGAACGGAAAGGCCCUGCCUUUGUGGGGUGCUCGAGUGGCGAACGGGUGAGUAACACGUGAGUAACCUGCCCUUGACUUUGGGAUAACUUCAGGAAACUGGGGCUAAUACCGGAUAGGAGCUCCUGCUGCAUGGUGGGGGUUGGAAAGUUUCGGCGGUUGGGGAUGGACUCGCGGCUUAUCAGCUUGUUGGUGGGGUAGUGGCUUACCAAGGCUUUGACGGGUAGCCGGCCUGAGAGGGUGACCGGCCACAUUGGGACUGAGAUACGGCCCAGACUCCUACGGGAGGCAGCAGUGGGGAAUAUUGCACAAUGGGCGGAAGCCUGAUGCAGCAACGCCGCGUGCGGGAUGACGGCCUUCGGGUUGUAAACCGCUUUCGCCUGUGACGAAGCGUGAGUGACGGUAAUGGGUAAAGAAGCACCGGCUAACUACGUGC